GUCUGUGGCUAUACCACCCUUAACAUGCCCGAUCUUGUCUGACCUUCAGAACUCAAAGGUUGGGCCUGGUUGGUACUGGCUAGUUAGUAAUACAGGGUAUUGUAGAAU
Molecule: ribosomal RNA, 108 nt
Filed under: Piliocolobus tephrosceles (Ugandan red Colobus)
Lineage: Eukaryota; Metazoa; Chordata; Mammalia; Primates; Cercopithecidae
Source: RNAcentral